UAGUCAAUGACUUAGCAAAUGCUGGCUAUUUUUGAAUGACCAAACCGAAAACUGGCUAGACCGUGCUAUUUUAACGAUUACGGUUUGCCCGCAGGAAUAGGAUGCCUGCAUUCCAUGAAAAUGACUCGGUGGUGGAGAUGGAACGCCCAGUGCACAAAGCAAGGGAUGUUAUGCAGGAUCCGGGGAAGGACCGCACCCCAAGGGAUGUUAUGCAGACAACUUAUCCUAAUGCAAGCAUUAGUAGCGGGUUGUCACCUAGCUCUCCUUCAAGUGUAUCUUAAUGUCUAGCCAUAUGGAUUUUUAUAUAUGUGCAACAAUCUAGCCUUGCCCUUUGGCUUCCUUUGUUCUCAUGUCAAUGAUGAUUGAAGUGUCAUCAACUAUGAAUUGUGUAUAUAUAGAGACCUAAACAGCAAUAUGCUAUAAUCAAGCGAUAAUAUUCAAAUUGCCUUCCUCUUUU
Nicotiana tabacum (common tobacco) is the source of this 457-nucleotide non-coding RNA. Lineage: Eukaryota; Viridiplantae; Streptophyta; Magnoliopsida; Solanales; Solanaceae. The record is from RefSeq and is a predicted model, not a curated record.